Malus domestica (apple) is the source of this 443-nucleotide non-coding RNA. NCBI's taxonomy places the organism in Eukaryota, Viridiplantae, Streptophyta, Magnoliopsida, Rosales, Rosaceae. The record is from RefSeq and is a predicted model, not a curated record.
GGUCCUACCCCCUAAAUCCCUCCCCAAAACCCGUUUUUGUUGUCUCUCUCAUCUCCCUAGUCACUCUCUUUCUCUUUCUUCAUUUCAGAAACACUCAUUCCCUCUCUCUUACUCUCAUUCUCUCUCAAACUCUCGGACAAACACCCAAGACCUUGAAAACUUCACAAGUUAAGGUUGAGGAAGGUAGCAUCGUGUUCGUAAGGACCAUACGAACACAUUGAUAUUAUUUUCAGGCUAAAGCAAGAUCACCACGAGUCUUAGGAAGUCCUAAGGAGGCUCGGAGUGCCUCGUUUGAACAAAAUGGACGUCGGGAUCGUUGGGUUCGAGUUUGGCCGAAUUUGAGGAAUUUUGGAAGGUGGAACUUUUAACGAGGACGAGCACAUCCAGGGGCGUCAAGGGGGUUACGACCCGGCGACAUACCAGUUCUAGUUGAUAGUUGAGGC